ACAUCCUCAACCUGCUUGGUUUUAUCGAACCAAGUAGGCUUGGAAUUUGGAGGUUUUCUGCUGGCCUCCUCCGAAGCCAGCUCCUCUUAAAUGUAUCAGUGGGAUCCGCUUUGCUAGAUCCUCGACGUUGAUAAGAUGUUUCUACGUCUUGGGUUUCGCUCGGGAAGGAUCCUGCUUCUAACCGUCCCAUCGGGGACAAUGUUCGAGCCGAUCGCCCUUCACGGGGUGGGAAGCUUUCGACCCAUGAAA
Molecule: unclassified non-coding RNA, 249 nt
Filed under: uncultured Russula
Lineage: Eukaryota; Fungi; Basidiomycota; Agaricomycetes; Russulales; Russulaceae
Description: sequence contains ITS2
Source: RNAcentral